AUAAAAUGACAAAAUUCCGUGUGAACUCCGACACAAGGACCAAUGCAAUAGAUAGAUUUCUACGAAAUCUACCUAAAAAUUUUAAUGAAAUAAUUUUUUC
This is a long non-coding RNA of Cotesia glomerata, 100 nucleotides long. RefSeq lists it as uncharacterized. The record is from RefSeq and is a predicted model, not a curated record. The transcript is spliced from 3 exons. Lineage: Eukaryota; Metazoa; Arthropoda; Insecta; Hymenoptera; Braconidae.